This is a long non-coding RNA of Peromyscus eremicus (cactus mouse), 674 nucleotides long. RefSeq lists it as uncharacterized. Lineage: Eukaryota; Metazoa; Chordata; Mammalia; Rodentia; Cricetidae. The transcript is spliced from 4 exons. The record is from RefSeq and is a predicted model, not a curated record.
AACAUGCUGUCAUUUCCUUAUUAGGGUGUGUGAAGCAUCCUGUGCUUCACCACAUGGGCUGGAACUCUCCUGGAAGCUGGGCAGACAACACCCCACCUCCAUGAGUUUGCUCAGGUGGAGCCUGAGGAAGAGCCAGGGGCUGCUCUGGUAUUUUCUCCUGGGUUUCAGCUCUGUGGCAGACUAAGUCCCUCAAGUUUGGGGAGUUUGUUUACUUAUUGUUUGAGAGAAACAAGAACUUUUGUUAUCUUCUGGGACCCUGGAACUCCAUUGUCACUGGGGCUAGGGGAGAGAUGACAUUACCAGCUUUCUGCUUCUUUUGGAAAGUGGUGAGUGUUUGCCUACAUGUAUGUGUGUGUAUUACAUACAUGCCUGCUGUCUAUAGAGGCCAGAAGAGGAUAUCAGAUCCUGGUGGAACUGGAGUUACAGAUAAUCCUGAGCAAACAUGUGAGUGCUGGAACCAAGCCUCAGUCCUCUGCAAGAGCAGCAAGUACUCUACUGCUGAGUCAUCUUUCCAGCUCCUUCGUUUUUCUUUUUUAGACAGAAAGCUAAUCCUCAGAUGAGUCACAAAGGACUAAGAAGUAAGGAACGGUCUCUAUCUGAGAGAUAAAAGCUGAGUAACUACAACAAUGCCGUCAGAAGCAGCCGCCGCAGAAAGCUGAGCCCAUCACCCGCAG